UAGAGGUAGACGCUUGGCC
Molecule: unclassified non-coding RNA, 19 nt
Filed under: Chlamydomonas reinhardtii
Lineage: Eukaryota; Viridiplantae; Chlorophyta; Chlorophyceae; Chlamydomonadales; Chlamydomonadaceae
Description: small RNA Cre_2278
Source: RNAcentral